GCCCCUUUUCUAUUGCACUACU
Molecule: microRNA, 22 nt
Filed under: Salmo salar (Atlantic salmon)
Lineage: Eukaryota; Metazoa; Chordata; Actinopteri; Salmoniformes; Salmonidae
Description: ssa-miR-130d-3-5p
Gene: ssa-miR-130d-3-5p
Source: miRBase by way of RNAcentral